UGACGAAGCGUUAUUUUGUGCUCUCUAUGUUUAUCUUGUCCUUUCUAUUGCGGGUUUACCAUUAGUACUUUUGUCAACAGUGAAUAGGAAGCAAAGAUGCACAUCAUUGUUGAGUGUCCCGUGUGCAAGCAUCUUUCGCGGAACCUUCAUCGUAGUUACAGUUUUUAAAUUAAACAUUUCCUGGUAUGCAGGGGAGAUGUAUUUUCUUCUUCUUGCAACGACAGCCUUUAGUCUGGUAACUCUACUUUUGGCCACACUUCUUUUUAGAUACAUUCACAAGGGUACAGUUGAUACUCCAACCGGCACAAUAGAACGGAAAUCAGCUCACAGCUUCUUUGUACAUACACAGAGAUUUUGUUGGCUUAUAGAGUACAUAUUCCCACUCAGUCAUGUCUGGGGAAUGGCUUUUGACCCAUUUGACUGCUUAAAAUGAUUUGCCCACUAUAAUCAGUUGUACAUUGUCGAAGUGGAAGAGAGGAAGGAUAGGAGGAGAUGAAAAGAAAACAGCACUUACUCAUUCACCUCACAUGGACAUUGGACAUGGGCAUAGACAGUGGAAAGUGGCUUGUUGGGUUCUUGAUAGAUUUUGGGCGUCAUCAAGUGAUCAUGUGAGGAGGCAUCAACCGAGAAAAUAAUCCAAAAAAUUAGGAGUACUUUUGAUAUGGCUUCAGUUUAGUACAUCCAAAUGGUGUAAAACUUGUAUCGUAUACUUAAAUACCAAAAGCUUGUCAGAAAGGAAAUUGUAUUAAGCAAACAUCCUUACAUUUGAGACCCACAGAUGAUGGCCAAAUAUUAGUUUAGUUCGCUCUUACAUGUUGCUCAUUAAUUAGCUAUAUUUGCAGUAGUGACAUCCACUUUCCUAACGGAAGUAGGACAAGAUUCUUAGCAUUUAUAAAGAAUAUUAUAUCAUGUAGGUUUCAAUGAAGCCGGUAUAUCAAAUGCAAAUUUGCAACAUCGCUGCAUGAAAGCUUGCAAAACAGGGUAGCGAAUAUGCGAGUGGAUACUGGAUAGGUUAAAUAUCCUGCCGCCCAUGAUUUGCCUGUGUUCUCCUCAGCCGUGCCUCAAAUCUUCUGCUUGACGAGGGUAAUUCAUUUCUUUAUGGUGCAUUGUGCUGACAAAGCGUUAUUUUGUGCUCUCUAUGUUUAUCUUGUCCUUUCUAUUGCGGGUUUACCAUUAGUACUUUUGUCAACAGUGAAUAGGAAGCAAAGAUGCACAUCAUUGUUGAGUGUCCCGUGUGCAAGCAUCUUUCGCAGAACCUUCAUCGUAGUUACAGUUUUUAAACUAAACAUUUCCUGGUAUGCAGGGGAAAUGUAUAUUCUUCGCCUUGCAACGACAGCCUUUAGUCUGGUAACUCUCCUUUUAGCCACACUUCUUUUUAGAUACAUUCACAAGGGUGCAGUUGAUACUCCAACCUGCACAAUAGAACGGAAAUCAGCUCACGGCUUCUUUGUACAUACACAGAUUUUGUUGGCUUAUAGUGCACAUAUUGCCAUUCAGUCAUGUCUGGGGUAUAGCUUUUGACCCAUUUGACUGCUCAAAAUGAUUUACCCACUAUAACCAGUUGUACAUUGUCGAAGUGGAAGAGAGGAAGGAGAGGAGGAGUUGAAAAGAAAACCGCACUUCCUCAUUCACCUCACAUUGGACAUUGGACAUGGGCAUAGACAGUGGAAAGUGGCUUGUUGAGUUCUUGAUAGAUUUGGGCGUCAUCAAGUGUUCCUGUGAGAAGGCAUCAACUGAGAAAAUAAUCCAAAAAAUUAGGAGUACUUUUGAUAUGGCUUCAGUUUAGAACAUCCAAAUGGUGUAAAACUUGUAUCGUAUACUUAAAUACCAAAAGCUUGCCAGAAAGGAAAUUGUAUUAAGCAAACGUCCUUACAUUUGAGACC
This is a long non-coding RNA of Syzygium oleosum, 1883 nucleotides long. RefSeq lists it as uncharacterized. The record is from RefSeq and is a predicted model, not a curated record. The transcript has 2 exons. Lineage: Eukaryota; Viridiplantae; Streptophyta; Magnoliopsida; Myrtales; Myrtaceae.